GACGAACGCUGGCGGCGUGCUUAACACAUGCAAGUCGAACGGAAAGGCCCAACUUUGCUUGGGUGCUCGAGUGGCGAACGGGUGAGUAACACGUGGGUAACCUGCCCUGCACUUUGGGAUAACUUUAGGAAACUGGGGCUAAUACCGGAUAGGAGCUCCUGCUGCAUGGUGGGGGUUGGAAAGUUUCGGCGGUUGGGGAAGGACUCGCGGCUUCUGAGCUUGUGGGUGGGGUUGUGGUUUACCAGGGUUGUGGCGGGUACCCGGCCUGAGGGGGUAACCGGCCACUGGGGGACUGAGAUAGGCCCGAGUCCCAUACGGGGGAGAGCAGUGGGGAAUAGUGCACAAGGGGCGGACGUCUGACGGAGCAGCGCCGCGUGCGGUAUGAGGGCUCUGGGGGUGAAAACCGCUUUCGCCGGAGACGAAGCGUUUGUGACGGUAACUGGAGAAGAAGCACCGGCUAACUACGUG
Molecule: ribosomal RNA, 468 nt
Filed under: uncultured bacterium
Lineage: Bacteria
Description: partial 16S ribosomal RNA
Rfam family: Bacterial small subunit ribosomal RNA
Source: RNAcentral